Molecule: microRNA precursor, 103 nt
Filed under: Marmota monax (woodchuck)
Lineage: Eukaryota; Metazoa; Chordata; Mammalia; Rodentia; Sciuridae
Source: RNAcentral
AAUACAAUUGCAGGAUCAUAUGGUAAAAUAGUGUUUAAAUUUAUAAGAAGCUAUCAAACUGUCUUCCAAAGUGACUAUGUCAUUUUCAUUUUCUAAUAGCAAU